Molecule: small RNA, 1663 nt
Filed under: Caenorhabditis elegans
Lineage: Eukaryota; Metazoa; Nematoda; Chromadorea; Rhabditida; Rhabditidae
Description: Unclassified non-coding RNA T19C11.4
Source: RNAcentral
GAUGCAAUCCACGACGAAACGAAUUCCGGCGGUGCUCAGGUUGGAGGAGAGUCCUUGGAUCGGAGGGGAUGGUCUGGGGCGUCGACUGGAAAUAGAACCACAUUGACAGCAUCAGUGCACAAUAAUCUGAUGAAUGGACGGAUGUCAUCGUCUAGUCACAAUCUUUCGACUAGGCUGUCCGGAUCUACACAGAAUUUAAACCAACCUACAAAUGCAUAUGGGGUGAGUGAAAACUUUCAAGUUAUAUGUAAACUGGUUGUUUUCAAAACAAUAUUUAAAGAUCAGUGACAACUGAUUUUUUAAAGAGGUUGAGAUUUUGAUGAGAUGCAUUAUAAUUACAAAAAUUGUUGUAUUUUGUUUGUAACUGACUUUUAAAUUUGUCGCAACUCUGGUUGUCUAUUGAAGGAAAUUCUUAGUAUUUUACAGUUUCAAAUUGUUGAAUAGUUUCCAAUCAGCUUCAAAAUUUUCAAUGAACAAAUAUCACAAUACCACCUAAUAUUUCAUAAUGAUGUGGUAAGAAAAUACAAGAACGAAUUUUCAAAAAUAACAUUUUUAGCCAAAGACAGUUUUGUUUAUUUAGCAUUACUCAAAUACUAUGCUUGGUUAGUUUGUAUUAAAUAUAACCAAUCAAAUUCAACAAGAUGUUUGUUCUACUUUAAAAAAUAAUACUUAGUUAGUCAGUACUUAGACAGCAUAUGAAAUCAAUCAAGAGUAGGUGUCAAUCAUAAAUUUCAUAAAGUUUUAAUCAAAUUUUGAAAAAUCAACUCACUUGAAUGCUCGAUUAAACUGUAGAAAAACGAGAAUUUUUUCAGUUAUUUUUUAUUUUACCAAAAUUUUACCAAAACCGUACUUUCAGUAACGAAAAUACGAAAAGAAAGCAAAAACGUAUUUAGGUAUUAUUUGAAAAAGCACAUUCACGCACAUUAAUAUUUUUUGAAUGGUGGGAGUGUAUGUGGUGACUCACACAAUUGCAAACCACUAACAGUGCCACAAAUGGAAAAAUACAACUGAUAACUGUUUUCUUAUGACAAAGCGGCUCGCAUACCCGACGAAAUGAGAAUGUUCGACGUGACUCAGUUCUCGGCGAACGAUGUCUAUAUUAUUAUUAAUUCCAUGUGGCAAUUACAGUUCCCCAUCGUGCCACCGGCAAAUAACCCAUCGGAUUCGUCUGCGUCAGGUCGUAUUGCAGUGAGUUUUGAAUGGUUUUGUCUAAUACCGAACUGGUUUCAAAAUUGUGAUCAAAAGAAAAUUCAAAGAGAUCAUACGAUGAUCGUGCAAAAUUAGUUUAGGUUUCAGUCUAGGAAAUAUAUUAUUGUUUAAGAAACCUAGAAUGGAUAUGAAUUGUAUUGAAAUUGAAAUUGUUGGUACUUUCUCUUCGGAUUAUGUUUUCUUUUUUAGAUUGGGAGACAAUGAUUCCUGAGCCAAAAAAAUAAUAACUUUUUCAUUUUCAACAAUUUUUGGGUACAGCUUCUACUCAAAAACCGAACAGUGAAUAAUAAUUUUGUGUCUUCUUUAAAUUCUCACUUGAAUUCUUGAGCGAAUCAGGAAAACUCAUAAAGACAUAUUUUCAGAAUCUCUUAUCACGACCGUUCCGUUCAAACCCACUAAAAAGAACAAAGAGUGUGAGCAAAAUGGAAAAAUCGCUGGCAGAAGCAAAUCAACA